AGUGAACGCUGGCGGUAGGCCUAACACAUGCAAGUCGAACGGCAGCACAGUAAGAGCUUGCUCUUACGGGUGGCGAGUGGCGGACGGGUGAGGAAUACAUCGGAAUCUACUUUUUCGUGGGGGAUAACGUAGGGAAACUUACGCUAAUACCGCAUACGACCUACGGGUGAAAGCAGGGGAUCUUCGGACCUUGCGCGAUUGAAUGCGCCGAUGUCGGAUUAGCUAGUUGGCGGGGUAAAGGCCCACCAAGGCGACGAUCCGUAGCUGGUCUGAGAGGAGGAUCAGCCACACUGGAACUGAGACACGGUCCAGACUCCUACGGGAGGCAGCAGUGGGGAAUGUUAGACAAUGGGCGCAAGCCUGAUCCAGCCAUACCGCGUGGGUGGAGAAGGCCUUCGGGUUGUAAAGCCCUUUUGUUGGGAAAGAAAAGCAGCAGGUUAAGACCCCGCUGUUCUGACGGUACCCAAAGAAUAAGCACCGGCUAACUUCGUG
Molecule: ribosomal RNA, 492 nt
Filed under: uncultured bacterium
Lineage: Bacteria
Description: partial 16S ribosomal RNA
Rfam family: Bacterial small subunit ribosomal RNA
Source: RNAcentral